AUUUACUUCCUGUGCAGCUGCUGCUGGGGGCAUCCUCUUCCUCAACGAAUCUUCGUGGGGCCUUCGCAGAACGCUUGGACCUCUCCAUGCUGAAACCUGCAAGACAAGAAACAGAAAAUGAACCCUUAAAUUGUUACAUCCCUAAAUAGGUCUUCCACUUUCCAAAGUUACACUAUUAUUUUUUCCUCUCUUCCAUUUUGAGGAAUAUAUUGAAGAGCACUGUCCCAAGAGAUCCCUCUAGGAAUGGACAUAUCCUUCCACUAUUGAAUGAACUUUUUACUUUAACUCACGCUUUCACAUUUAUGUUAAAUCAGAAAGAUAUUUACCUCAAAAUAUUCACACGCUACUGUAAAGAUAUUUUAGUCCCAGGACUUGCAAGGGAGUGCACAUCUAGCAUGUGCAGGCACAUUCAUGUUAUUUCCCGAUUCAUUUUAAAAUGCUGGCAAGUAUAAUAUAUUUUCAUGAGAUUUGUGUGUGGUGUUCCAUUAAUCUAACAUACAAGCCUAGUGAAUACACUUUCCAAACAGAUUAACACUUAGUUUUUUAAUGGCGAACCCCCCCCCACACCCACACACACAUAGUUUGCCUUAUUUGUAGGAGACAAUUUGAUCUUGUUACUGAGUAGACAAAGGGUUGUCACUGGUAUUUUGUUAGUAACACUUGUAUUGUUUUACAUGAUCUUAUCACCCCUGCGCAGACUUACUAGGGGAAGACAUGUAGCAGGGUCAGGUUUAUGAAGCCUGUAGUGUGCACUUAUAAUUCUAAUGAUGGGAAAACCCACAAUUUCCUUAGUUUAAUCCCUUAAGGACCACAGCACUUUUCCAUUUUCUUACCGUUUGGGACCAAGGCUAUUGUUACAUUUUUGCUAUGUUUGUGUUUAGCUGUAAUUUUCCUCUUACUCAUUUACUGUACCCCCACAUAUUAUAUACUGAUUUUCUCGCCAUUAAAUGGAGUUUCUAAAGAUACCAUUAUUUUCAUCAAUAAUUUACUAUAAAAAAAGUAUAAAAUAUAAGGAAAAAAUUGAAAAAAAAAACACUUUUUCUAACUUUGACCCCCAAAAUCUGUUACACAUCUACAACCACCAAAAAACACCCAUGCUUAAUAGUUUCUAAAUUUUGUCCUGAGUUUAGAAAUACCCAAAUGUUUCCAUGUUCUUUGCUUUUUUUGCAAGUUAUAGGGCAAUAAAUACAAGUAGCACUUUGCUAUUUCCAAACCAUUUCCCCCCCCCCCAAAUUAGCGAUAGUUAAAUUGAAACACUGAUAUCUGUCAGGAAUCCCUGAAUAUCCCUUGACAUGUAUAUGAAUUUUUUUAGAAGACAAGUAGAAAAUUAGAAAUAAAAAAGAGGGCGCCGCAUAGCGUAAUAUUGUUGGAUCUGAGUCAAAGUAGAUACAAUCAAAAGGCUUACCGAAAGGAUAUGCACCGUGCUGUGACCGGUGCUAUCAGGCAGACUAGCACUCUCAGUGGUUAGCACACUGGUGAGUCAAUGGUAUGCUGCGUCUAGUCCAAGGCAGGUAAAACUCUGUGUGGCUCUGUUAAAGGUGAGCGUAAAUCGUGAAUGAAAUGCGUGUGGACGGGCAAAAGUGUAGCACAAAUGUGAAGCGGCGGCUCCUCUGGUCCUCGGAGUGAAGAGUCUGAAAAUUAGAAAUAAAAAAGAGGGCGCCACAUUUUUAGAAGACAACCCAAAGUAUUGAUCUAGGCCCAUUUUGGUAUAUUUCAUGCCAAAUGCGUUUAAAUAAAAAAAAUCGUUAACUUUGUCACAAACUUUUUCACAAUUUUAGGUUUCUCACUGAAAUUAUUUACAAACAGUUAGUGCAAUCAUGGCACAAGUAAUUGUAAAUUCUUCUCUAGGAUCCCCUUUGUUCAGAAAUAGCAGACAUAUAUGGCUUUGGCAUUUCUUUUUGUUAAUUAGAAGGUUGCAAUAUGCUGCUGCGCACCACACGUGUAUUAUGCCCAGCAGUUAAGGUGUUAGGUAGCUUGUAGGGUUAAUUUUAGCUUUAGUGUAGAGAUCAGCCUCCCACCUGACACAUCCUGACCCCCCUCAAACAGCUCCCUUCCCUCCCCCACCCCACAAUUGUCAUCGCCAUCUUAAGUACUGGCAGAGAGCAGGCACAUCUAAGAGAGGGACAGAGGGUGCACAUGGGGACAGAAGGGGGGAGGAGGGAGAGGAUAGGGAGGAACCCACACCAGGGACAUCACAGGGAGAAAGCCAAGUGUCCAUGGAGGAUGAGAGGCUGAGAUGUCCCAACUUCUCAUUUGCUGAAAAAGUUGCCCUUGUCCAGGCCAUCAUGGACAAUUACAGUGACCUCUUCGGGCAGGAGAAGGGCAAAGGCAUUGCCAAAAAGAGAAAAACGGCAUGGUUGGUGCUAGAGGAUGCCAUCAACAGUGUGGCCCCCGCAGAGGAGGACUGCUGAGUGCCUUAAAAAACGUUAGAAUGACUACAAGAGGCAGGUCAAAGAAAAGAUGGGGCUGGCAGCUAUGCACCAGAAGCGAACAGGAGGUGAUACGCAGGUCCCUGAGUAUCACAGCAAUCCAUGGACUUCCAGGGGCUCAUGACUCAGGGGCUGCAACCACAGCACAUCAUGCUGAACCUCCUGUUACGAUGAUACAAAUAUCCAUGCCACCACCACCACCACAGUAUGCUCCUAGGCAUGAGCAUGGUUGGAUGGCUUCAGUUGAGGACUUGGGACUGAUGCCACCACCAUUGCCAUAUGACCCCUGACAAGAUUCCUGGCCAGAGGAAUAUCCUCCCUUUGGCUUUGAGGGGGAGCCAAGACAGCCACAAAGGGUCCAUGUAUUUACCCUCCCCCCACAACACAAUCUCAUGGCAGUCAUGGAUUUUACCCACAGACUAUGUCACAAGAAGUGCCAAUUGGACAGGCUGAGUGGUCACACACUGGUCAUCAGUGGGACUAUCAAUCAACCAUAAGAGCUCGACCAUCCUCAUCACUUGAACGAGCUCCACCAUCCUCAUCACUUGGAUGAGCUCCACCAUCUGCAGAUGGAAAUAUAGCAGAAACUACAGCUGCACCUCAAGCACCAUCAGAUGCAUCUGAACCUGCCCCAAAAGAACCAUUGGUUGCAGCUGAACCUGCCCCACAAGAACCAGCAGAUGUAGCUGAACCUGCCCCACAAGAACCAGCAGAUGUAGCUGACCUUGCACCAGGAGAUGCAGGUGACCCUGCCCCACAAGCAACUAGAAGCCCUGCUGCUCAAGAGCCUGUGGAUGGAUUGUAUUCUCCCCUGGGUGAGGAAUACAUUGCACUCCAGAGGAGGCUCAUAACAAGCACUGAGAGCAUACAAAGAGGCCAAGAGAGGUUCUUCAGGAACCAAGAAAGGUUAAUCAGGAGCCAAGAUAGGAUCCAACAAUGUAGCAUAGAGCUAUACAGAGGGACAUGGCAGCAUCAUUAAGUGCAAGUGUUCAAAACCAGUCACAGAUAAUGUGAAUUCUGUCUGAUAUGCAGAUGCAAAUGGACAGUAGAUGGAGAGAACAAAAUCAACUCUUGGGUGUGUUGGUUGAGCACUUUACACACCAGCAGGACACUGUCUCAAGCAUAUCAUCUGUGGCCAGCACACCAGCAGAAACACCAGAAUCUUCUAAAACCAGGAGAACAAGGAAAUCCAAUACAGUCACCUCGGCUCUCUCAUCCAAGAAGCCAAAAAAAAUAAAAUAUUCUUUUAGUUCACCAUAAA
This is a long non-coding RNA of Bombina bombina (fire-bellied toad), 3690 nucleotides long. RefSeq lists it as uncharacterized. The transcript has 4 exons. NCBI's taxonomy places the organism in Eukaryota, Metazoa, Chordata, Amphibia, Anura, Bombinatoridae. The record is from RefSeq and is a predicted model, not a curated record.